AGCUGGGUUCUGUUGUUGGCAACCAACAGAGUUGUUGUCUUUUCUCGCAUUCAUUAAAAUGCACAAGAAGAAAUUUCUAAUGGUGAGGGAGUACUUGCUUCAAAUUCAUACUUCAGUGAAAUAAACAACACCAUACAUAGGAAUGUGAAAGCAAAGUCAUCAUACACUGUUUGCUUCAUUGUAUGAGAAUCAAUGUUUGCAUGAUAAACUGCCCUAAUGGAAGAGGACUCUGAGUUACCUUUUUCGAGCAAAGCCACCUAGGUUACUCUGUUUUCCCCAGAGUGACCCUUCUGUUCUGCAAAUUUUCAGAUUGAAGGGAGUAGCAGUAGAGUAUCAGAAGUAUCAGAAGCAAAAAAGUAAAUGUAUGAUUUGCAAAGCAUAACAAAAUGAAAAAUAAGCUUCUGCAGUCAUGGAAGUUCAGAAUUGGAUAACAACUUAGAUUAUUUAUUCCAACCUCAUCGAAAAAGAGAUAAAGACAUGGAAUUCAGGAAAAGUGAAAUCUACUUAAAUGUACCAAUCACAGCAGAGUCUUUUGGAACUUAAACAUCUUGACUCUUCUGUUUAAAGCCUAAAUCAACCUGAGAGAAGAGAUGAAACAACUGAGGGCCAAAAAGUUUACAAAAUUUUCCAAGAUCAUACAGCUAAUUAACAACAUCUGGGCUCUUCUUGACUUUUGGAAUCCAAAAGGUGCUACCAGCAUCCCAAGGUGUCCAGCUUGUAGACAGCCUGUCGUGGGACUUCUCAACCUCCAUAAUUGUAUAACCUCAAAGUAAUGGGAGAAGAUACACAAGUGAUCAUUGCCAGGACUGAAGACUGUUCCUAGGACUACUAUUUGGAUCAACAGAAGCUGAAAAUGAGAAUAUCAAAGGCUGGGCAGAUAGUUUCACUCACGGGCAUUGAUCAGGAUGGCUGGAGGUCACCUGCUGCAAGAAGCACUGUGUUUUCUGUGCAGCUUAAUGAGAGGGAGCAUAUCAUUUCAGGACUCUCACAGGAUGCAGUGUUACUGAGAAUCUCAUGAGGCAAAUCCUAAAUGCCAGGAUAAAUUUGCAGAGAUAGAACUACUACUUUUUUUUUUUAAAUUUCCUUUUGUUAUGACUUGAACGUGUAAGGUCAUGCUUCGAGCCUGCUAUCCUAUAGCUCUCAAUUCUAAACUAGUUGCAAGUAUAUUGGACUUCUUGCCCUGACCCCUGUCCCUUUGAUAGGCCAGGUGAAUCCAAAUAUGCCCGAGUGCAUCUCACAGAAUACAUCUGAUUCUAGGAUGGGACUAGAGGUCUCCUGGUAUUUAGAACUGCAAAAUGAGGUAGCAAAAGCUCUAGUCAUAUGCCUCCCAUUUAUUUGACAUAUCAUCACAAACAUGUCCAUAAUUUACCAAGGUUGAUCCACUGCCUACUACAUUUGUGUGUGAAAAUGUGUCAUGCUUUGUGGAAAAAGUGAAAAUAGUUAUCUGUAUGGUGGGUGCACUUUGAGUGACUGGGGUGGGGUAUGAGCACUGUCUUACAAAAAAGUCAAGAGUAAUAUCUGACAAAGAUACUGUCCUUUACCCUGGAUACCAACAGAUGUUCUUGUUUUCAUUCAAAAUUACAAUUAUCAUUGAAGUGCACAGUGGCUUUUAAUUGAGACAGAUAAAACGUAACUUCAAGUAUUGAAGUAAUUUUUUUUUACUGUUUUUAAGACAACUGAAGAUCUGAGCAAUUCUUGGCAUGACUUUUCUCCAUUCAGUUUAGAUUUUUGUGAUAAAAGGCGACUAUAAUAAAGAGAAUGGUAAAGGAAAAUAUCUAACAUGGAAUUUAUAUCUAAUCUUCUUGAAAGUUAUGAACACUUGUUAAUCCUUAAUUUCAACUCUUGAGAUUUCAUCUGAUUUGAGAUAUUCCUUUGAACAUUCAGAGUAUAAAAUGUUUCAUAUGUGGUGAAGGAAUCCUAAUUUUCCUAUUAUACUAUAAGAAUGAAACAGGUGGCAAAUAAAUUAAACAACGGUAUGCAAUCUAUUAUUCAGUAGGUUCAGUUAAACCACCCUAUUCUCUAAAGGUCAUGCCUUCCUUGUGAAAUAUGUUGAAUUAAAGCUUUCCUUACCAACUGAGGCACAACCUAAGAAGAGUUAAUUUACAAUUUUUAUCCUGGGUUUCAAGGAACUUACAUAUGAUUUGUCAAUUUAUAAGAAGAAAACAAAUUCCCUGAAAUACACUUCCUUUUUAACUAACAAAAUUAAAUCAUAGGCAUAAUUUUGUAGCAAAAUCAUCAAAUCUUACAAAUAUAUUCUACAUCAUGGACGUCAUCUUCUCUUUAUAAUGACUCUAAUGCUGAUGGACAUUCAGUGUUCUUAAAACUUCCUUACACAUAAAAAUAAACAACAAUAAGAAAGAUACUCAUCUAUUCCUCUCAAAUAGCUGCUUCAGAACUUCUAGGAAGCUUGGAAACAUGAAAAAAUCUUUCCAACUUAAAAGAAAGCAAACUCUCCCACAUUUAUUUCCUUUUGGGCCAGUUUUAGGCAAAGCGAUGCUCUUUAAUCCUUGGAGCAUCUGGUGUCAACCUAAAUUAAUUUUUAUCUUACCUGAGUUUUGAAAGGAAUAGUUUACCUAAAUGAUUAAGAAAUAUGCUCUCAUAUGGCCAUAUAUUCCUUACAUAGGAAAAUGAUGGGGUCUAAAAAUUAUGACACACACACACACUCCCCACUACACACACACACACACACUCCCCCCUACACACACACACACACACACACACACACAUCCUGAUCAUCAGUGCAAAACCGUCCAGCCAAAAGGAGUUCAAUUUUAAGAGAAACUGAAGUUUGGUAGACUAUAUCAUUAUAAAUCCAGAAACAUUCUAUUUUGUAAACAUUGAGAAAAAAUUUAUAAGAUCAUCA
This 2863-nucleotide long non-coding RNA is filed under the name Homo sapiens (human). Its description in RNAcentral is "HSALNT0312995". The record is from RNAcentral. Lineage: Eukaryota; Metazoa; Chordata; Mammalia; Primates; Hominidae.